UGCAGCGUCUUUCUGAACUCCUCCGACCGUCUGAGCUUCCAUAAUACCAUCCAAACUUCUCCGAUAAUGAACUCCUUCAGUCGUCUAUCGGGCUGGUCCAAAUGCUCUCUGGGCUUCAUUAUCAGCCAAUUUUCUACAGUGAUCGACUAUCCUCUGAAUCUCUUCUAGACUUCUUCCUGCCACGAUCGACUCUACUCCGAACUUCUUUCGGACUUCGUCAAUGUU
This 225-nucleotide long non-coding RNA is filed under the name Elaeis guineensis (African oil palm). RNAcentral describes it as "long non-coding RNA (EGUI_LNC028326)". The record is from RNAcentral. Lineage: Eukaryota; Viridiplantae; Streptophyta; Magnoliopsida; Arecales; Arecaceae.